AGAGUUUGAUCAUGGCUCAGGAUGAACGCUAGCGGCAGGCUUAAUACAUGCAAGUCGAGGGGCAGCAUGACUGUAGCAAUACAGUUGGUGGCGACCGGCAAACGGGUGCGGAACACGUACAGAACCUUCCUUCGAGCGAGGAAUAGCCCAGAGAAAUUUGGAUUAAUACUCCAUAGCAUAUUGAUAAGGCAUCUUAUUAAUAUUAAAGAUUUAUCACUUGAAGAUGGCUGUGCGGCUGAUUAGGUAGUUGGCGGGGUAACGGCCCACCAAGCCUGCGAUCAGUAACUGGUGUGAGAGCACGACCAGUCACACGGGCACUGAGACACGGGCCCGACUCCUACGGGAGGCAGCAGUAAGGAAUAUUGGUCAAUGGACGAAAGUCUGAACCAGCCAUGCCGCGUGGAGGAUGAAGGUCCUCUGGAUUGUAAACUUCUUUUAUCUGGGACGAAAAAAGGCUUUUCUAAGUCGUCUGACGGUACCAGAGAAUAGCCCGAUCUGGC
Molecule: ribosomal RNA, 500 nt
Filed under: uncultured Niastella sp.
Lineage: Bacteria; Pseudomonadati; Bacteroidota; Chitinophagia; Chitinophagales; Chitinophagaceae
Description: bacterial SSU rRNA
Rfam family: Bacterial small subunit ribosomal RNA
Source: RNAcentral